CUCUCUCCUGCUGCACUGUGAAGAAACUGCUUGCUUCCCUCUCACCCUCUGCAGUUUCCUGAGGCCUCCCCAGCCAUGCGGAACUCCUGCUUCCAUAUCGUAAACUGCCUUGGAACCAAGUACCACUACCAGGGAGACAAACUAUUGCUUAGAGGAUGCUGACGGGAGCAGCAUGCCAAAAUUGGAAGAAUGUUGUCUCUCAGCUGGUGCCACGAAUAGGUCUUCAGCAGGCUGUUCCAUUCCACCAUUCUAUCUGGCCCACUGCUUCUUACAAGAUUAAGAUAGCAGAUCCCAUGGGUGUAGGGAGAAAGUUUAAGCUCUCCUCACUAUGAGUUUUCAAGUAUAAAAGACUUUUUCUUCCAUGAUUUUGAGAACAACUGUGGACUCUUGUGACCAGGACAACAGGGAAGCUUGCAGCAAGAUAGCUCCAGGUUGGAUUCACGCUUCGCACCCCAAGGGCUGCCAGCCAGAGAGGAGGAGAAGCAAUCACUCCUGCAGUUUCUGAACACUACACAGACGCCAGGUAGCUUCUUCAGGAGAACAGCCCUCUGAGGAGGCAGGAAGAGGAGGCUUCUCUUUCAGCA
RNAcentral lists this long non-coding RNA (584 nucleotides) under Pan troglodytes (chimpanzee). Its description in RNAcentral is "lincRNA". The record is from RNAcentral. Lineage: Eukaryota; Metazoa; Chordata; Mammalia; Primates; Hominidae.